Molecule: ribosomal RNA, 405 nt
Filed under: uncultured bacterium
Lineage: Bacteria
Description: partial 16S ribosomal RNA
Rfam family: Bacterial small subunit ribosomal RNA
Source: RNAcentral
AUUGAACGCUGGCGGCAGGCUUAACACAUGCAAGUCGAACGAGUGGCGGACGGGUGAGUAAUGUUUGGGAAUCUACCUUAUGGAGGGGGAUAACUACGGGAAACUGUAGCUAAUACCGCGUACCAUAGGAUGAGCCAAAGUGGGAUUAGGUAGUUGGUAGGGUAAAGGCUCACCAAGCCGACGAUCUCUAGCUGGUCUGAGAGGAUGACCAGCCACACUGGGACUGAGACACGGUCCAGACUCCUACGGGAGGCAGCAGUGGGGAAUAUUGCGCAAUGGGCGAAACCUGACGCAGCCAUGCCGCGUGAAUGAAGAAGGCCUUCGGGUCGUAAAGUUCUUUCGGUAGCGAGGCGUUAACUACAGAAGAAGCACCGGCUAACUCCGUGCCAGCAGCCGCGGUAAUUC